RNAcentral lists this ribosomal RNA (254 nucleotides) under uncultured bacterium. RNAcentral's name for it is "partial 16S ribosomal RNA". It matches the Rfam family "Bacterial small subunit ribosomal RNA", at positions 524 to 776 of the family's 1533-position model. The record is from RNAcentral.
UACGGAGGGGGCUAGCGUUGUUCGGAAUUACUGGGCGUAAAGGGCGCGUAGGCGGCGAUUCAAGUCAGGCGUGAAAGGCCUGGGCUCAACCCGGGACUGCGUUUGAUACUGGAUUGCUGGAGUCCGGGAGAGGAUGGCGGAAUUCCCAGUGUAGAGGUGAAAUUCCGUAGAUAUUGGGAAGAACACCGGUGGCGAAGGCGGCCAUCUGGACCGGAACGUGACGCUGAGGCGCGAAAGCGUGGGGAGCAAACAGG